CCUACGGGUGGCAGCAGUGGGGAAUAUUGGACAAUGGGGGCAACCCUGAUCCAGCCAUGCCGCGUGUGUGAAGAAGGCCCUCGGGUUGUAAAGCACUUUCAGUGAGGAAGAACGCCUGGUGGUUAAUACCCAUCAGGAAAGACAUCACUCACAGAAGAAGCACCGGCUAACUCCGUGCCAGCAGCCGCGGUAAUACGGAGGGUGCGAGCGUUAAUCGGAAUUACUGGGCGUAAAGCGCGCGUAGGUGGCUUGAUAAGCCGGUUGUGAAAGCCCCGGACUCAACCUGGGAACGGCAUCCGGAACUGUCAAGCUAGAGUGCAGGAGAGGAAGGUAGAAUUCCCGGUGUAGCGGUGAAAUGCGUAGAGAUCGGGAGGAAUACCAGUGGCGAAGGCGGCCUUCUGGACUGACACUGACACUGAGGUGCGAAAGCGUGGGUAGCAAACAGGAUUAGAUACCCCAGUAGUC
This 465-nucleotide ribosomal RNA is filed under the name Vreelandella stevensii. Its description in RNAcentral is "partial 16S ribosomal RNA". It matches the Rfam family "Bacterial small subunit ribosomal RNA", at positions 338 to 795 of the family's 1533-position model. Lineage: Bacteria; Pseudomonadati; Pseudomonadota; Gammaproteobacteria; Oceanospirillales; Halomonadaceae. The record is from RNAcentral.